UGCAAAACGCACAUGGAAAUGUCUUAGAAGCUUAAGUGCAAAAGAGGGCACAAUUUCAAGAGAAGGAGUUGAAAAAAGGAAAGUUUAUUUAUUAGGUCUAAAUUAUGAUGAAUAUGUUUUAGUUAGAGGUUGUUUUCGUUUUCGAGUAAUAAAAGGGAUGGUUCAUUUUUCUGGUAAGAUUAUGACACCUUCACGUAAAUAUAUAAAUAUUCGUAUACCACCUUAUCACCCUUUUUUUAAAUUAAGAGCAUUAAGCGAUAAUAAUAUAAAUUAUGUAGAUGAUAAUUUUGUUUUUUGUAAACAAGAAAAAAACAUGAAAGUUAAUACAAGUGUUAAAAAUUUUCAUGAUAGCACUAUGAGUAUUCGUAACACUAAUGACGACACGUGUAAUACCAGUGGAAACAAUGUUUGUUAUAAUUAUGACGAGAAACAAAAAGUAAGCACAAGAUAUGUUAACAUACCAGAAUCUGAAAGUAAUGAAAAGUAUACGUUCCAACCUGAAAACACAGAUACAUACGAAUGUGCAUAUACGAUUAUAAAUAAUUAUUUAUUUGGACUAAAUUUACAAGAUAAAUAUAAUAAUAAACGACAACGAUUUUAUAAUUAUAUUAUUAAUAAAAAGAAUAAAACAGAAGAGAAUUAUUAUAAUAAUUGUUCUGAUAUAGAAAAAACGAUAGACGUACAUUUUAAAGGUGAUAAAUAUGAUGUUAUCAUCGCUUUUGAAAAAAAAAAAGAUUUUCUCUAUUAUUUGUAUAAUUACGAUAAUACGAAAAAAAUAAAUUUUGAUAAAUAUUAUAACGAAAUUAAAAAUGUAUAUGUUAGUAAUCUUAAUGUAUAUUAUUUAGUGAGACAGGUUUUGUUGGGAUUGUAUUACAACAGUGGUAAUAGUUGCAGUAGUAAAAAUAAAAGGCAAAACUUAACACAUAUGAUAAAAAGAGCUAUAAACGGAUGUACAGACUGGAAAAAAGGUAAAGGCAAUUUUAUUAGUACAAAUUGCGAAAAUAACACAAGAGUUAACUUUGAUGCAAAUGGAAUAAACGAAAAAUCAAAUUCUCAGAAUAACAUAAAUGAAAAAAGUAUGCAUGAUAUAUUGGAAAAAGCAAAUGCAGGAAGCGAUGAUUUCCACACGGAGGAUAAUAUUGUGAACACGGGCACGAACACGAGCACGAACACGAGCACGAACACGAACACGAGCACGAACACGAACACGAGCACGAACACGAACACGAACACGAACACGAACACGAACACGAACACAAACACGAACACAAACACGAACACAAACACGAACACAAACACGAACACGAACACGAACACGAACACGAACACGAACAUGAGUGACGGUUGUAAAGGAAAGUCAACAGAUAAACAAAGUGAUAACGAACAUCUGUGCAUUGAAAAGAACAUACCAGAGUAUAACAUAUUCAGUAUCAUGGUUAUAGGUGAUAAAGGGAAAGGUAAAAGUUUUUUUAAUAUAAAUUUAAUUAAUAACUUAUUAAACUAUUAUGAUUCUAUAUUUUUGAUAGAUAUAGAUAUAGGACAACCAAUUAUUGGGGUUAGUGGUUUUAUUUCUAUAUAUGAAAUAAAUGGUUUUUUAAAUGAGUACAAUUUUUUUUCAAAUAGUUAUAAAUGUAUAUUAAAGAUAUAUAUUGGUAAUUGUUCUAUAAGUGAAGAUACAAAUUUUUUUAUCAAGUGUUUAAAAUAUAUGUAUAGCUAUUUAUUUGAUGAGUAUUUUAAAAAUAUAAAAAAUGAAAAAGAGAAUAAUCGACGGACGUAUCCGAUAGUUGUGAAUAGUUUUGGUUGGAUAGAAGGUGUAGGAUUAUUUUUGUUAGUUUUAAAUAUUUACUUAAGUAGAUGUAAUUUUAUUAUUCAGUUUGACUCGUUAGGUAUACAUGACAAUGUAGCUAAUGAAUUAAGUAAAAAAGAAACUUUGGAAUAUUUGUUUAACGACUUUGUUGUGUUGGCUCAUAGUAAAGUUGAAGAUACAUUGCAAGAUAGUAACAAAAUGGAUAAAAAGAUAAAAAAUAUAAGCCACACUUGUUUUACCGUUUUCAACUUACGUAACAAAAAUGUAUGUUUAUUUCCAAAACAACAUUCUAUAAUUAAUUUGAUUAAAACUUACUGUGGAGUUACAACAAAUGAUAUACUAUGUUAUAAUUUUAGUUUAUCUUUUUCCAAUUAUGCAGUAGAUAAAGAAAAAACAACAAAACAAAAUACAGAUAUGAAUGAGUAUUAUAAAAAAAGAAUACACGAUAAUAAUGCACAUCCAUAUGAUCAAAGUAAUUCGGAAUAUUUGACAAGUUGCAAUAGUGAUAAAAUGAAUGAAAGUGACAUAAAUUAUUUGAAAUAUAGACACGAUUCGUGUAAGUACGCAACUAGUAAUAACAAUAAUAUUAGUAUUUUUAAUAGUAACGGUUAUAACAGCGGGAACAACAGCUACCACAGUAAUUACAGUAACUACAGUAAUUACAGCAAUUACGGUAACUACAGUAACUACAGUAACUACAGUAACAACAGUAACAACAGUAACAACAACACGUAUGUUGUUGAUAGUCAUGCUGGUGGUAACAAAUACGAAAAUGCUCACACUCGAUAUGAUAAUAACAAUAGCAACAGUCACAAUAACAAUCGUAACUAUAACACUACUAACAUUAAAACGUACAGUAGUUAUAAAGGUUAUAAUUAUGGAAAUAAUUAUGAUAGCAACAAAAUAAAUCACGAUUGUGAUUUUUAUGGUAGCAAUAACAGAAAUAUCAAUUAUAUAGAUAUGAAUAAGCACGACAUUAGUGUUAGCAAUAUUCGGAACGGAGUUAGUAGUAAUAACAUUUAUAAUGACAAAAAUAGUUAUUACAAUUAUAAAAACGAAUUUAUUUUUCCGAGGCAUUGUACGAAUUACCCAAAUUAUUCAAAUUACCCAAAUUAUUCAAAUUACCCAAAUUAUUCAAAUUACCCAAAUUAUUCAAAUUACCCAAAUUAUUCAAAUUACCCAAAUUAUCCAAAUUACCCAAAUUAUCCAAACCACCCAAAUCACGUAAUAAGCCUUUUUGACAACAAUGAAUACAAAGUUAAAUACUUAAAAUAUGAAAAAAAUCCGUUAUCUUACAUUUAUGGUAAAAGAAAUAGAAACAGGGAAAGUCAGUGCUUGGGUGAUGAGAAAGAGGAGUGGUCUGAUUAUAAUGAACAGGUUUAUCGUAGUGGAGAGUUUUUAAAUGACAUAAAAGAUAAACCUUACGAUAAAAUAUACAAAACAGUAUACAAUGAAAAUAAUUUUAAAGAAGAAACGUACAAAGACAACAGGUAUAAAAAGUUAAAGAAUGAUGAAUGCAUUUCAAAUUGUAAUAAAAAAUUAAUUACACAAAAAAAUAAAGAUGAAAUCGAAACUAAAAUUGAAAACUAUAACUAUUUAAUAGACAGGAUAAAAGAUUUUUUUCAAAACAAUAAUAUAAGAAUAAUUAAUACAAUAAGUUAUAAAAACCUUUUGUUUGAUAACGACAGUAGUAACAAUAAUAGUCAUAAUUAUAUGAAGGAUGAAAAAAGAAAUUGUCAUAGUCAUAUUUCCAUAUCACCGAAAUUUUUAAGAGCAUAUAGAUUUUAUAGUUAUUUUUUUUAUAAAUUUAAAAAAAUCAUUUUUUAUAUUAACACAUUUUCAUGUCAUGAUGAUUUAAAAACAUAUUUUUUUAAACACUUUAAACUUGUGGAUUAUUAUAUUUUUUGUAAUGACAUAGACCCUAUAAAGUUACAUGUACAAAUGGUUGAUGGUAAAUGUCCAAACAACAUCAAUAAUGAUACUCGUAUAAAAAACAUGCCUGAAAUGUCUGAUAUGCCUGAAAUGUCUGAAAUACCUGAAAUGCCUGAAAUGUCUGAAAUGCCUGAAAUGUCUGAAAUGCCUGAAAUGUCUGAAAUGCCUGAUGAUAUAACAGAAGCAGAGCCAAAUGAACAAAACAUAUAUGUAAAAAAUAAGAAUGAUGUAAAAAAUAAGAAUGAUGUAAAAAAUAAGAAUGAUGUAAAAAAUAAGAAUGAUGUAAAAAAUAAGAAUGAUGUAAAAAGUGAGAAUGAUUUAAAAAAUGAGAAUGAUGUAAAAAAUGAGAAUGAUGUAAAAAAUGAGAAUGAUGUAAAAAAUGAGAAUGAUGUAAAAAACGAUUUGAAUAAUAAUAAUAAUAAAAGUAAAUAUGUAUGCAAAAUAGGAAUAAACAAUGUAGCUAAUUCGAUAAUGGCUGAGGGGGACAUAACUGUUGUAGAUAUUGUCACUGAUACGACAGCUAAUUCUUCAAAUGUCGCUACGUUUACUACAAAUAACAACUUGUGUAUUUCCAACAAUUUAGACAGUACAGUAGGUGUAGAUACAUAUGAUACUGAAAAACUACAACAUGUGAAACAUACUAAAAAUGUGCAUAAACUAUAUAAAGAACCAAAGAAUAGACUUCUAUUCACUUGUGCUAUAUUUAAUUUAAAAGAUAUAUACUUAAGUAGUAUAUUAUUUAAUAAAAAUAUUAAGAGUAUGCAAGAAUAUAAUGAAUUUUUUGCAUUUAAGUAUUUUUUUAACAAUGUAAUAUGUUUAUGUUAUUAUCCUGGUGAUAAUUUAUCAAAAAAAAAAAAAAAAAAAAAGUAUGACCUUGCUAACAAGGUAAAGAAUGGACAUGACGAUUUACCGAAUGAUAAAGCGAACCAUGUGAAUAGUACCGAUAGUGUGGACGAAGAGGACGAGGAAAAUGAAGCGAACGACAUACCCAACACAAAUUCAAGAUACUACAUAGAUUAUAUGCAAAUAAAUACUGAUAAUUUUAAAAAUAUUAAUUAUAUUAUUAAAAAAGAAGACAUGAAAAAAAAUAAUAUUCAACUUAUUAGCAUGAGUGAGAAGUUUAAAUAUAAAUUAAUAGCAUAUAUAAAACUUAUUGAUAAUAUGAAGCUGAUAAUAUAUUUACCAUAUUGGCUUACAAAUUUUGAUAUACUUAAACAUGUAAAUACGUUCGUAGCUGGAGUCCAACUUCUGCCUUACAAUAUGCAUGACAUAAUUAAUAACUAUUCUUAUUAUUUAAAUAUAGUGAGUAAAAAAGAGAAGGAUAUUAUUAGGCUGUUAAAAACGAAAAAGGCGUGUUCAACGU
Molecule: long non-coding RNA, 5102 nt
Filed under: Piliocolobus tephrosceles (Ugandan red Colobus)
Lineage: Eukaryota; Metazoa; Chordata; Mammalia; Primates; Cercopithecidae
Description: lncRNA (ENSPTEG00000006519.1)
Source: RNAcentral